This 236-nucleotide non-coding RNA is filed under the name Neisseria mucosa ATCC 25996. RNAcentral describes it as "Bacterial small subunit ribosomal RNA". It matches the Rfam family "Bacterial small subunit ribosomal RNA", at positions 1 to 233 of the family's 1533-position model. Lineage: Bacteria; Pseudomonadati; Pseudomonadota; Betaproteobacteria; Neisseriales; Neisseriaceae. The record is from Rfam by way of RNAcentral.
AAACAUAAGAGUUUGAUCCUGGCUCAGAUUGAACGCUGGCGGCAUGCUUUACACAUGCAAGUCGGACGGCAGCACAGAGAAGCUUGCUUCUUGGGUGGCGAGUGGCGAACGGGUGAGUAACAUAUCGGAACGUACCGAGCAGUGGGGGAUAACUAAUCGAAAGAUUAGCUAAUACCGCAUAUAUUCUGAGGAAGAAAGCAGGGGACCAUUUGGCCUUGCGCUGUUUGAGCGGCCGA